This 1525-nucleotide unclassified non-coding RNA is filed under the name Hevea brasiliensis (rubber tree). The record is from RNAcentral. Lineage: Eukaryota; Viridiplantae; Streptophyta; Magnoliopsida; Malpighiales; Euphorbiaceae.
AGAAGUUCUUUGUGCUAGGCCUGCGCUGGAUUCACCUCGUUCGAGGGAGAUGGUCAGCUUAGUUAAAUGGGCAAAGGAGUGUCAGACGAACGGACAGUCAAAACGAAUUAUAGAUCCCAAUCUUGUUGGCAAAAUAAGACCAGAUUCCCUCGGGAGGUUUGGAGAAACAGCGGUGAAAUGCUUAGCUGAAACUGGCGUAGACUGGCCAUCAAUGGGUGAGGUGCUGCAGAAACUGGACUAUGCACUUCAUCUCUAAGAGCCUGUCAUUCAAGAAAACACUGCCAUCCCUAUUCGCGAGCAAAUCAAUGAUUUCAGUCAUGUUGAUGACACUUCCUCUGCUGCUUCGGUCAAAAUUGGGCUGAUCUCUAGUAUGAAUGCGUUCAGAUUUUGCUCAAGAAAACAGCCGGGAGAAGUUCAAUUAAUGGUUGCACUCCAUGGGAACCAACUAUUCCAAGCCAACAACUUCCAUAAAUGAUGCUUCCAAUUUGAGUAAUCGCGUUCCUUUUGAAAGUUUUCGAGUUCCUUUUGUAGAUUUGCAGGAAGCAACUAAUAACUUUGAUGACAAGUUUCUGAUUGGAGUGGGUAUAUUUGGUAAGGUUUACAGGGGUGUUUUGCGUGAUGGUACAAAGGUGGCCCUGAAAAGACGUAAGCCUGAGUCUCCACAAGGUAUUGAAGAGUUCCGAACAGAAAUUGAGAUACUCUCACACUGCAGCCAUCCACAUCUGGUUUCACUGAUAGGAUACUGUGAUGAAAGAAAUGAGAUGAUUCUAAUUUAUGACUACAUGGAGAAUGGGAACCUCAAGAGCCAUUUGACUGGCUCAGAUCUACCCUCCAUGAGCUGGGAGCAGAGGCUGGAGAUAUGCAUAGGGGCAGCCAGAGGUCUACACUACCUUCAUACUAACGGAGUUAUGCAUCGUGAUGUCAAAUCUUCAAACAUAUUGCUUGAUGAGAAUUUUGUGGCAAAAAUUACUGAUUUUGGAAUAUCCAAGACAACGCCUGAGUUUGAUCAAACCCAUCUUAGCACAAUGGUGCAAGGAAGUAUAGGCUACAUUGACCCUGAAUAUUUUAUAAGGGGACAACUGACAAAAAAAUCUGAUGUUUAUUCUUUCGGUGUUGUUUUAUUCGAAGUUCUUUGUGCUAGGCCUGCCAUAGGUCGUUCACAUAUGAUCAGUUUAGCUGAAUGGGCAGUAGAGACGCAGAAGAUGGGACAGUUGGAACAAAUUGUAGAUCCCACUAUUGUGGCCAAAAUAAGACCAGAGUCCCUCAGGAUGUUUGGAGAAACGGCAGUGAAAUGCUUAGCUUCAUCUAGUGAAAAUAGGCCAUCAAUGGGUGAUGUGCUGUGGAAACUGGAGUAUGCACUUCAUCUCCAAGAGCCUAUCAUUCAAGAUAAUCCUGAAUGAUUCUUUGUUAGUGGAUCAUGUAGAGAUUUAUUUUUUGUUUUGUUGUAACAGUCUUCAGAGUAAGUGUUUCACAUGUGUGUAUGACUUCUAUUAAGUUCUAAUUGUAAACAGCAAAAUGAAGUUUG